GGAGGAAAAGAAACUAACAAGGAUUCCCCUAGUAACUGCGAGUGAAGCGGGAGAAGCUCAAAUUUAAAAUCCCUUCUGGGAGUUGUAAUCUAGAGACGUGUUUUCGGUCGUUGCCUCGGACAAGUCCCUUGGAAUAGGGCGUCAUAGAGGGUGAGAAUCCCGUACUUGCCGAGCUCCCAAUGACUAUGUGAUACACGUUCGAAGAGUCGAGUUGUUUGGGAAUGCAGCUCAAAAUGGGUGGUAAACUCCAUCUAAAGCUAAAUAUUGGCGAGAGACCGAUAGCGAACAAGUACCGUGAGGGAAAGAUGAAAAGCACUUUGGAAAGAGAGUUAAACAGUACGUGAAAUUGUUGAAAGGGAAGCGCUUGAAGUCAGUCGCGUUGCAGGGACUCAGCCGUCAAGGUGCAUUUCUCUGCAACGGGUCAACAUCAAUUUCGGCCGCGGGAAAAGGGCUUGGGGAAUGUGGCAGCUUCGGCUGUGUUAUAGCCUCUUGUCGUACACCGCGGCCGGGAUUGAGGACUGCUAUUACAGGAUGUUGACAAAAUGGCUUUAAGCGACCCGUCUUGAAACACGGACCA
RNAcentral lists this ribosomal RNA (577 nucleotides) under Dacryopinax spathularia. Its description in RNAcentral is "eukaryotic LSU rRNA". It matches the Rfam family "Eukaryotic large subunit ribosomal RNA", at positions 52 to 668 of the family's 3401-position model. Lineage: Eukaryota; Fungi; Basidiomycota; Dacrymycetes; Dacrymycetales; Dacrymycetaceae. The record is from RNAcentral.